GACGAACGCUGGCGGCGUGCUUAACACAUGCAAGUCGAACGGAAAGGCCUGCUUUCCCUUGUGUGUUGCGGGUACUCGCGUGGCGAACGCGUGAGUAACACGUGCGUUAUCUGCUCCCAACUUGGGUAUAAGCCUGGGAUACUGGGUCUAAUUCCCGACAGGACCGCAGGGUGGUGCCGGUAGUGGCAAACGAUUUGUUGGCGGUUGGGGAUGAACUGCGGGCCUAUCAGGUUGUUGGUGGGGUAAUGGCCUACCAAGGCUGCGACGGGUAGCCGGCCUGGGAGGUGGAACGGCGACAUGGGGACUGAUAUAAGGCGCAGCAGCCUUGGGGAGGAAGGAGUGGGGAAUAGUGCACAGAGGGAGGGAGCCCGAGGCAGCAAUGCCGCGUGCGGGAUGAUGGCCUUCUUGUGGUAGCGAGGAUGCGCCCUGGAUGGAGGGGUGGUGACGGUAAUGGGAGAAGAAGCACCGGCUAACUACGUG
Molecule: ribosomal RNA, 480 nt
Filed under: uncultured bacterium
Lineage: Bacteria
Description: partial 16S ribosomal RNA
Rfam family: Bacterial small subunit ribosomal RNA
Source: RNAcentral